Molecule: long non-coding RNA, 1649 nt
Organism: Siniperca chuatsi (mandarin fish)
Lineage: Eukaryota; Metazoa; Chordata; Actinopteri; Centrarchiformes; Sinipercidae
Exons: 6
Source: RefSeq, a predicted model, not a curated record
CUUUUAAUAACCACUUUUUGUGUAGUUGAGGCUUAAUAUUUUAUUUUAAACCUGUUACAAGAAUGAUUUUUGUUAACACAAGCAUAUUUGAACUUUAACCUUUAUUAGUUUGUAGUAUAGUAGUGUACACACCAAAGUAUUAGUUCAUAUAUGUUGUGUAAAUGGUUUGCCCUGGACCAGUGGUUCCCAACCUUUUCAGCAGAUGGCCCCUUGAAAUUAAGCAAUGUCCACUAUGGCCUUAUUUGUGAGCCGUUUAAAUAGUUUUUUUUCAAUCUGAAGAUCGUUUAAUUUGAGUGAGGAAGAGAUGAAAGCAUUCAGGAUUUCACAAGAAAAAGGCAAAAAUGUUGUUACAAAACUACAGGGUGACUCAGACUUAAUCAACAACUAUAGUGAGUGCUAAAUUGCAAGUGUUAGCAUGCUAACACGUAAAACUAAGAUGGUGAACCAUUAUGCCUGCUUAUUAUCAGCAGGCUAGCAUCGUAGCAUUUAGCUCACAGCAGUACUGUCCUGAAGUCACAGAGCUGCUAGCAUGGCUGUAGACUCAUAGUCUUGUUUUUCUUCUUUUUUUUUAUCCCUUUUAAUCAUCUUGUGACCCCAUCCUGUGAGAUUUGUCCAGUUCCCCAGGUAGGGAACCACUGCCCUGGAGAAGUGAUACUACACUAACACUUCCUGUGGCAGAAGUUGGCAUUUCUAACUGAUCAGCUCUUCCUAGUGACCUGCAGCCUGCUAAAUUGGCAAUCCUGACCUCUUCACCUCCUUGCGGUUGUGCAGCAGAAGCUCCUGGUUGUGCUGGAGGAGGUGGUGGUACUGAGCCGUGAAGGACCUGAACUGCUGGAUGCACACCAGCAGCAGUAGCAGCUGCAGGUACUCAGGGAUCCUCUGAACCGGCUGAAGAAGCAGAGUGUGGAGGGAGGGUUUGGAUUCGUCACCUGUUAUGUCACUCUGAUAGAAGCACCAUGCGGCCAAUCAGAGCCAAAGGGCAGCACAGGUCGACCAAUCAGGAUGGAAGGACAAAACCAGUUAGUACAGCAGGAAGGCAGAAGGUUUCACGGAGCUGGAGGCAAGCGUGGUGACAACUGACAGACAGUCUGGAAGCUCCUUCAGUGGCCAAAAUAUCACAAAAAGAAGUGACAAAGUGCAAAGAAGUGAAAUGAUCUGCUGCAAACACAGGGAUACACUCAUUGCCUGCAGGUGGCACAGGUGUCAAGAUUUUAGAGGUAUUUACUUGCCACUAGAUGCCGCAUAUCAACACGUCUGCAGCUACAGAAAUAUCAGGAGGAAACAAUCGUCUGGUGAAAUAGUGGCAAUAGUACACAGUUUGGAAACUUAACACCUAAAAAAUGACUGCCGAAUAUUGUUUGAUGAAUCCAUUGUCAGGUUGAAAAAGAGAAUAACUUUCCCAGUAUAGUUUGGUGUUGAUGCAUCUGUUUUUGUGCUGAUUUAUUAGAGCCUGCAGUUGUCCUUACUGCAUGCCAAUGAGCCUGUAUACAGACACUGGUGCAGCAACCCAAGCUAGCACAAGUAUCUUUAUUGACUACUGUCUCGUACAGUAACAGCCUGUACAUUCUUCAAACUGUUCAAACAAAUGGUGAAAGACAUACAGUUAAAUUGCCCAAUAGUUCAUACAAAUUAAUCUAUGUAUUCAAAUU